RNAcentral lists this ribosomal RNA (253 nucleotides) under uncultured bacterium. Its description in RNAcentral is "partial 16S ribosomal RNA". It matches the Rfam family "Bacterial small subunit ribosomal RNA", at positions 524 to 776 of the family's 1533-position model. The record is from RNAcentral.
UACGUAGGGCGCAAGCGUUGUCCGGAAUUACUGGGCGUAAAGCGUGCGUAGGCGGUUUGUUAAGUCCGUUGUGAAAGCCCUGGGCUCAACCUGGGAAUUGCAGUGGAUACUGGCGAGCUAGAGUGCGGUAGAGGAUGGUGGAAUUCCCGGUGUAGCGGUGAAAUGCGUAGAGAUCGGGAGGAACACCCGUGGCGAAGGCGGCCAUCUGGACCAGCACUGACGCUGAGGCACGAAAGCGUGGGGAGCAAACAGG